CCAAUAGCGUAUAUUAAAGUUGCUGCAGUUAAAGAGCUCGUAGUUGAAUUUCGGGAUCAAUAUGUUGGUCGUGCCUCGGUACGUACUGGCUUAUUGGUUUCUCCCUUCUAACGAACCAUGAUGUCAUUUAUUUGGUGUUAUGAGGAAUCAGGACUGUUACUUUGAAAAAAUUAGAGUGUUUAAAGCAGGCUCACGCUUGAAUACAUUAGCAUGGAAUAAUGAAAUAGGACGUUUGAUUCUAUUUUGUUGGUUUCCAGGAUCGACGUAAUGAUUAAUAGGGAUAGUUGGGGGCAUUAGUAUUCAAUUGUCAGAGGUGAAAUUCUUGGAUUUAUUGAAGACUAACUACUGCGAAAGCAUUUGCCAAGGAUGUUUUCAUUAAUCAAGAACGAAAGUUAGGGGAUCGAAGACGAUCAGAUACCGUCGUAGUCUUAACCAUAAACUAUGCCGACUAGGGAUCGGAUGAUGUUAAUUUUUUAAUGACUCAUUCGGCGCCUUAC
This 497-nucleotide ribosomal RNA is filed under the name uncultured Glomeromycotina. Its description in RNAcentral is "partial small subunit ribosomal RNA". It matches the Rfam family "Eukaryotic small subunit ribosomal RNA", at positions 591 to 1091 of the family's 1831-position model. The record is from RNAcentral. Lineage: Eukaryota; Fungi; Glomeromycota.